Long non-coding RNA from Gallus gallus (chicken), 1187 nucleotides. The record is from Ensembl. Lineage: Eukaryota; Metazoa; Chordata; Aves; Galliformes; Phasianidae.
AGGGUUGGCCCUGCCUUUCCUCCAGAUGCUCUAUCACUGUUUCUGGCUCUGACUCAACCUUUGUACUAUAGCAGCCAAGCAUCUCUUGAUGAUCUUUGGUCUCUGUAGUUUUUUUAAUAGUGAAGAAGUAGGAAUAUGAAAAUGGAGCCGAGUAUAACAUAAAAGGUCUCCUCAGAGAUAAGCAGUGCCAACAGAACUCUACUCAAGCUGAUGUAGAGCUCAUUUUUCCAUAUUCUUUCCUAAGAGUCAAGUUCGGAUGCUGAUUGGACUUCAAAAUCCGUUCCUCUGCUUGCUUUGUGCCAAUUCCUGUUUUUGGAUUCAGGGGACAACCCUUAGGGUGAAGUUGUCAUGAAUUCAGCUACUCAGUUGUCAUCUUCACUGGAGCUGGUUGAGUCAUUCCCACAUGGGUAUAUGCUUGCCAAUUGAAGAUGAAAUGCCUACAUGAAUGUGCCAUAGUGUGAACAGCAGAAUCUUCCUGUAGUAAAGUCUGAAUACUUUGCGGGUGAUUCCUUUAUAUUAACCCUUAAGAGGAAAAGUAAAUAAUUAGUGGUGCCAUUAGUUGGCCCAGGGGAGGGGACCCUAACAAAAUAUUCCAGUCAGUUGUUCACAUCUGGCAAUUCUGUUUUCACUGGCAGAAGACAAUUAUCAUCCCAUGAGAGUGCAGCCAGGCUGUAAGUAGUAACUGUUGUGUAGCUUUUUCCAUGACUGGUUUUAGCAUAGAGGUAAUUAAUUUUAGUCACUGUAAUUAUAUUAUGCUCAUAGACUCUUUGCAAUAGGGAAAGUCCUUUUAUAUGUAUGUAUUCCGGUACUCAGUUCCAAUAGUAGCACCAAUACAGAGAGCACUUCAUAGUGUCAAGUGCUCUCUAAGUUCUUGUUUUACCUGUGUUCAUCUCUAAGCAUGUGGCAACUUCGUAGUUAAAACUUUGAAUCAUUUAGUUUUGUCUCUAUCCCAAAACUGCUAAGAGGGUAAUGCUAUAAGGAUGAGAAAAUCCCAAUAUACACCUCAAGCUUUCAUCAAUCUUCAUAAAUGGCAGCUGAUCAGUAGGUAAAGGGGCUGUAUUUUGAGAGGGGUGAGAAGCAGGUUUAAAAGAAAUAAAAUACUGACAGUAUGCUAAAUAGAGUUGUAAACAGUUCUCUUGCCUUCCCUUCCCCACCACGUUAUCUGGCUUCCAUUAAACUGAAAUGCU